Molecule: ribosomal RNA, 460 nt
Filed under: uncultured bacterium
Lineage: Bacteria
Description: partial 16S ribosomal RNA
Rfam family: Bacterial small subunit ribosomal RNA
Source: RNAcentral
CCUACGGGAGGCAGCAGUGAGGAAUAUUGGUCAAUGGACGAGAGUCUGAACCAGCCAAGUAGCGUGAAGGAUGACUGCCCUAUGGGUGGUAAACUUCGUUUAUAUGGGAAUAAAAUGUUCCACGUGUGGGAUUUUGUAUGUACCAUAUGAAUAAGGAUCGGCUAACUCCGUGCCAGCAGCCGCGGUAAUACGGAGGAUCCGAGCGUUAUCCGGAUUUAUUGGGUUUAAAGGGAGCGUAGGUGGAUUGUUAAGUCAGUUGUGAAAGUUUGCGGCUCAACCGUAAAAUUGCAGUUGAAACUGGCAGUCUUGAGUACAGUAGAGGUGGGCGGAAUUCGUGGUGUAGCGGUGAAAUGCUUAGAUAUCACGAAGAACUCCGAUUGCGAAGGCAGCUCACUGGACUGCAACUGACACUGAGGCUCGAAAGUGUGGGUAUCAAACAGGAUUAGAUACCCCAGUAGUC